This 377-nucleotide ribosomal RNA is filed under the name uncultured bacterium. RNAcentral describes it as "bacterial SSU rRNA". It matches the Rfam family "Bacterial small subunit ribosomal RNA", at positions 521 to 896 of the family's 1533-position model. The record is from RNAcentral.
UAAUACGUAGGGGGCGAGCGUUGUCCGGAAUUAUUGGGCGUAAAGAGCGUGUAGGCGGUCUGGUAAGUCUGCCGUGAAAACCUGGGGCUCAACCCCGGGCGUGCGGUGGAUACUGCCAGGCUAGAGGAUGGUAGAGGCGAGUGGAAUUCCCAGUGUAGCGGUGAAAUGCGCAGAUAUUGGGAGGAACACCAGUAGCGAAGGCGGCUCGCUGGGCCAUACCUGACGCUGAGACGCGAAAGCGUGGGGAGCGAACAGGAUUAGAUACCCUGGUAGUCCACGCCGUAAACGAUGGACACUAGGUGUUGGGGGAGUCGAAUCCCUCGGUGCCGAAGUUAACGCGUUAAGUGUCCCGCCUGGGGAGUACGGCCGCAAGGCUA